CCUACGGGAGGCAGCAGUGGGGAAUUUUGGACAAUGGGCGCAAGCCUGAUCCAGCUAUUCCGCGUGUGGGAAGACGGCCUUCGGGUUGUAAACCACUUUUGUAGAGAACGAAAAGUCUAUUGAUAAUACCCAUAGAUGAUGACGGUACUCUCAGAAUAAGCACCGGCUAACUACGUGCCAGCAGCCGCGGUAAUACGUAGGGUGCGAGCGUUAAUCGGAUUGACUGGGCGUAAAGGGUGGGCAGGCGGUUUUGUAAGAUGGAUGUGAAAGCCCCGGGCUUAACCUGGGAAAGCCAUACAUGACUGCAAGACUAGAGUGCGUCAGAGGGGGGUGGAAUUCCAAGUGUAGCAGUGAAAUGCGUAGAUAUUUGGAAGAACACCGAUGGCGAAGGCAGCCCCCUGGGACGCAACUGACGCUCAUACACGAAAGCGUGGGGAGCAAACAGGAUUAGAUACCCCUGUAGUC
Molecule: ribosomal RNA, 465 nt
Filed under: uncultured bacterium
Lineage: Bacteria
Description: partial 16S ribosomal RNA
Rfam family: Bacterial small subunit ribosomal RNA
Source: RNAcentral